UACGGCGAGUGAAGCGGGAAGAGCUCAAAUUUGAAAUCUGGUAGCCUUCGGUUGCCCGAGUUGUAAUCUAGAGAAGUGUUUUCCGCGUUGGCCCAUGUACAAGUCCCUUGGAACAGGGCGUCAUAGAGGGUGAGAAUCCCGUCCUUGACAUGGACCCCCAAUGCUUUGUGAUACACUUUCAACGAGUCGAGUUGUUUGGGAAUGCAGCUCAAAAUGGGUGGUGAAUUCCAUCUAAAGCUAAAUAUUGGCGAGAGACCGAUAGCGAACAAGUACCGUGAGGGAAAGAUGAAAAGCACUUUGGAAAGAGAGUUAAACAGUACGUGAAAUUGUUGAAAGGGAAACGAUUGAAGUCAGUCAUGCUCUUUGGAUUAAGCCGUUCUGCGGUGUAUUUCAUUGAGCGGGGUCAACAUCAGUUUUGAUCGCUGGAAAAGGGCAGGAGGAAGGUAGCACUCUCGGGUGAACUUAUAGCCUCUUGUCGUAUACAGUGAUUGGGACUGAGGAACGCAGCAUGCCUUUUGGCCGGGAUUCGUCCACGUACAUGCUUAGGAUGUUGACAUAAUGGCUUUAAACGACCCGU
RNAcentral lists this ribosomal RNA (577 nucleotides) under Cryptococcus sp. (in: basidiomycete fungi). Its description in RNAcentral is "eukaryotic LSU rRNA". It matches the Rfam family "Eukaryotic large subunit ribosomal RNA", at positions 85 to 652 of the family's 3401-position model. The record is from RNAcentral. Lineage: Eukaryota; Fungi; Basidiomycota; Tremellomycetes; Tremellales; Cryptococcaceae.